Molecule: ribosomal RNA, 842 nt
Filed under: Pronomaea korgei
Lineage: Eukaryota; Metazoa; Arthropoda; Insecta; Coleoptera; Staphylinidae
Description: SSU rRNA
Rfam family: Eukaryotic small subunit ribosomal RNA
Source: RNAcentral
CACGGGGAGGUAGUGACGAAAAAUAACGAUACGGGACUCAUCCGAGGCCCCGUAAUCGGAAUGAGUACACUCUAAAUCCUUUACUAAGGAUCAAUUGGAGGGCAAGUCUGGUGCCAGCAGCCGCGGUAAUUCCAGCUCCAAUAGCGUAUAUUAAAGUUGUUGCGGUUAAAAAGCUCGUAGUCGAAUUUGUGUCCCGCGCCGCUGGUUCAUCGCUCGCGGUGUCCAACUGGCGUGUUACGCGGGACGUCCUGCCGGUGGGCUCUCGCAAUCGUUUCGGCGGUUCGUGGCCCAACUCGUGUCCGUCUCGUGCGGGUGCGAAUCCCAUCGCGGUGCUCUUUAUUGAGUGUCGAGGUGGGCCGGCACGUUUACUUUGAACAAAUUAGAGUGCUUAAAGCAGGCCACUUUUGCCUGAAUAUUCUGUGCAUGGAAUAAUGGAAUAGGACCUCGGUUCUAUUUUGUUGGUUUUCGGAACCCCGAGGUAAUGAUUAAUAGAAACGGAUGGGGGCAUUCGUAUUGCGACGUUAGAGGUGAAAUUCUUGGAUCGUCGCAAGACGGACAGAAGCGAAAGCAUUUGCCAAAAACGCUUUCAUUGAUCAAGAACGAAAGUUAGAGGUUCGAAGGCGAUCAGAUACCGCCCUAGUUCUAACCAUAAACGAUGCCAGCUAGCAAUCCGCCGACGUUCCUCCGAUGACUCGGCGGGCAGCUUCCGGGAAACCAAAGCUUUUGGGUUCCGGGGGAAGUAUGGUUGCAAAGCUGAAACUUAAAGGAAUUGACGGAAGGGCACCACCAGGAGUGGAGCCUGCGGCUUAAUUUGACUCAACACGGGAAACCUCACCAGGCCC